CCUGUAACUUUUCUAGGGUUACUGCCGGUCCCAAGCCCGGAUAAAGAAGGAGGGCUGG
Molecule: non-coding RNA, 58 nt
Filed under: Schistosoma mansoni
Lineage: Eukaryota; Metazoa; Platyhelminthes; Trematoda; Strigeidida; Schistosomatidae
Source: RNAcentral